AGUAAGGUCAGCUAAAUAAGCUUUUGGGCCCAUACCCCA
This 39-nucleotide transfer RNA is filed under the name Coregonus sardinella (least cisco). Its description in RNAcentral is "partial tRNA-Met". The record is from RNAcentral. Lineage: Eukaryota; Metazoa; Chordata; Actinopteri; Salmoniformes; Salmonidae.